This 91-nucleotide transfer RNA is filed under the name Sphingobium sp. AntQ-1. RNAcentral's name for it is "tRNA-Arg". The record is from RNAcentral. Lineage: Bacteria; Pseudomonadati; Pseudomonadota; Alphaproteobacteria; Sphingomonadales; Sphingobiaceae.
GGCUUCCAUGCGCUGGAUCAGGACGCCUAUGUUGCGAUCGUGGGCGGCUAUGCGGCCAAGCUGGGCUUGGCGUUCGAUCCGCUGGAGGCGA